This 72-nucleotide transfer RNA is filed under the name Toxocara canis (dog roundworm). It matches the Rfam family "tRNA". From Rfam's summary of the family: Transfer RNA (tRNA) molecules are approximately 80 nucleotides in length. Their secondary structure includes four short double-helical elements and three loops (D, anti-codon, and T loops). Further hydrogen bonds mediate the characteristic L-shaped molecular structure. tRNAs have two regions of fundamental functional importance: the anti-codon, which is responsible for specific mRNA codon recognition, and the 3' end, to which the tRNAs corresponding amino acid is attached (by aminoacyl-tRNA synthetases). tRNAs cope with the degeneracy of the genetic code in two manners: having more than one tRNA (with a specific anti-codon) for a particular amino acid; and 'wobble' base-pairing, i.e. permitting non-standard base-pairing at the 3rd anti-codon position. The record is from Rfam by way of RNAcentral. Lineage: Eukaryota; Metazoa; Nematoda; Chromadorea; Rhabditida; Toxocaridae.
GAGGCAAUAGCUCAGUAGUAGAGCCCCUGCUUCACAUGCGGGGAGACCCGGGUUGUAUUCCCGGCUGCUUCC